Molecule: long non-coding RNA, 739 nt
Filed under: Salmo salar (Atlantic salmon)
Lineage: Eukaryota; Metazoa; Chordata; Actinopteri; Salmoniformes; Salmonidae
Description: lncRNA (ENSSSAG00000102291.1)
Source: RNAcentral
GGGGAGGUCUGUGAGGAGGGGAGGUCUGUUGAAGGACUGUGAGGAGGGGAGGACUGUUGAAGGGCUGUGAGGAGGGGAGGUCUGUUGAAGGACUGUGAGGAGGGGAGGUCUGUGAGGAGGGGAGGUCUGUUGAAGGACUGUGAGGAGGGGAGGUCUGUUGAAGGACUGUGAGGAGGGGAGGUCUGUUGAAGGACUGUGAGGAGGGGAGGUCUGUUGAAGGGCUGUGAGGAGGGGAGGUCUGUUGAAGGACUGUGAGGAGUGGAGGUCUGUUGAAGGUCUGUGAGGAGGGGAGGUCUGUUGAAGGACUGUGAGGAGGGGAGGUCUGUUGAAGGACUGUGAGGAGGGGAGGUCUGUUGAAGGACUGUGAGGAGGGGAGGUCUGUGAGGAGGGGAGGUCUGUUGAAGGUCUGUGAGGAGGGGAGGUCUGUUGAAGGACUGUGAGGAGUGGAGGACUGUUGAAGGACUGUGAGGAGGGGAGGUCUGUUGAAGGACUGUGAGGAGGGGAGGAGGGGAGGUCUGUUGAAGGACUGUGAGGAGGGGAGGUCUGUUGAAGGACUGUGAGGAGUGGAGGUCUGUGAGGAGGGGAGGUCUGUUGAAGGACUGUGAGGAGUGGAGGACUGUUGAAGGACUGUGAGGAGUGGAGGUCUGUGAGGAGGGGAGGUCUGUUGAAGGACUGUGAGGAGUGGAGGACUGUUGAAGGACUGUGAGGAGUGGAGGUCUGUGAGGAGGGGAGGUCUGUU